CCCAACGGCCGUGCCACCCUGAACAAGCCCGAUCCCAUCUGAUCUCGGAAGCUAAGCAGUGGUGGACCUGGUUAGUACUUGGAUGGGAGACCACCUAGGAAGACCAGAUGCUGUAGACG
Pteropus vampyrus (large flying fox) is the source of this 119-nucleotide ribosomal RNA. The record is from Ensembl. Lineage: Eukaryota; Metazoa; Chordata; Mammalia; Chiroptera; Pteropodidae.